UGGAGGAAAGUAGGGGAUCGUAAGACCUUGCGCUUUUGGAGCGGCCGAUGUCUGAUUAGCUAGUUGGUGGGGUAAUGGCCUACCAAAGCUUCGAUCAGUAGCUGGUCUGAGAGGACGACCAGCCACACUGGGACUGAGACACGGCCCAGACUCCUACGGGAGGCAGCAGUGGGGAAUUUUGGACAAUGGGCGCAAGCCUGAUCCAGCAAUGCCGCGUGAGUGAAGAAGGCCUUCGGGUUGUAAAGCUCUUUCAGUCGAGAAGAAAAGGUUGUGACAAAUAAUCACAACUUAUGACGGUAUCGACAGAAGAAGCACCGGCUAACUACGUGCCAGCAGCCGCGGUAAUACGUAGGGUGCAAGCGUUAAUCGGAAUUACUGGGCGUAAAGGGUGCGCAGGCGGCUUCGUAAGUCAGAUGUGAAAUCCCCGGGCUUAACCUGGGAACUGCGUUGAAACUACAAGGCUAG
This 465-nucleotide ribosomal RNA is filed under the name uncultured ammonia-oxidizing beta proteobacterium. Its description in RNAcentral is "bacterial SSU rRNA". It matches the Rfam family "Bacterial small subunit ribosomal RNA", at positions 197 to 644 of the family's 1533-position model. The record is from RNAcentral. Lineage: Bacteria; Pseudomonadati; Pseudomonadota; Betaproteobacteria.